RNAcentral lists this ribosomal RNA (228 nucleotides) under Clostridioides difficile. Its description in RNAcentral is "partial 23S ribosomal RNA". It matches the Rfam family "Bacterial large subunit ribosomal RNA", at positions 2497 to 2724 of the family's 2925-position model. The record is from RNAcentral. Lineage: Bacteria; Bacillati; Bacillota; Clostridia; Peptostreptococcales; Peptostreptococcaceae.
AGUCCACAUCGACGGGGAGGUUUGGCACCUCGAUGUCGGCUCAUCACAUCCUGGGGCUGUAGUAGGUCCCAAGGGUUGGGCUGUUCGCCCAUUAAAGUGGUACGCGGGCUGGGUUCAGAACGUCGUGGGACAGUUCGGUCCCUAUCCGUCGCAGGCGUAGGAAAUUUGAGAAGACCUGUCCUUAGUACGAGAGGACCGGGAUGGACGUACCUCUGGUGUACCAGUUGU